Molecule: transfer RNA, 73 nt
Filed under: Phytophthora infestans T30-4
Lineage: Eukaryota; Oomycota; Peronosporomycetes; Peronosporales; Peronosporaceae
Rfam family: tRNA
About the family: Transfer RNA (tRNA) molecules are approximately 80 nucleotides in length. Their secondary structure includes four short double-helical elements and three loops (D, anti-codon, and T loops).
Source: Rfam by way of RNAcentral
ACCCGUCUAGCUCCGUCGGUAGAGCGCUGGCCUUUUAAGCCAGUGGUCGUGGGUUCGAUCCCCACCGGGGGUU